AGUAAAGUGACUGAAUAGAAAGGUGAUAGAUUGUAAAUCUAUAUAUGGGAAUAAUAUCCUCUUUACUA
RNAcentral lists this transfer RNA (68 nucleotides) under Tryonicus mackerrasae. RNAcentral's name for it is "tRNA-Tyr". It matches the Rfam family "tRNA". From Rfam's summary of the family: Transfer RNA (tRNA) molecules are approximately 80 nucleotides in length. Their secondary structure includes four short double-helical elements and three loops (D, anti-codon, and T loops). Further hydrogen bonds mediate the characteristic L-shaped molecular structure. tRNAs have two regions of fundamental functional importance: the anti-codon, which is responsible for specific mRNA codon recognition, and the 3' end, to which the tRNAs corresponding amino acid is attached (by aminoacyl-tRNA synthetases). tRNAs cope with the degeneracy of the genetic code in two manners: having more than one tRNA (with a specific anti-codon) for a particular amino acid; and 'wobble' base-pairing, i.e. permitting non-standard base-pairing at the 3rd anti-codon position. The record is from RNAcentral. Lineage: Eukaryota; Metazoa; Arthropoda; Insecta; Blattodea; Tryonicidae.